Molecule: long non-coding RNA, 1632 nt
Filed under: Bemisia tabaci
Lineage: Eukaryota; Metazoa; Arthropoda; Insecta; Hemiptera; Aleyrodidae
Description: lncRNA ENSASIAIIG007814
Source: RNAcentral
UUAUGAAAGGAGCUUGAUUGAUUUUGAUCAUGUUUUUCGACUGUUCAAUGUUUAAACCUAAGCAGGACUUGGCCAGACCCAAGUCUUUGAUACUGAAAGUCGUUUCUAAAUUUCUUUUUAAUGAGCAAGUUUCCUGGUCAUCAUUGGAGAAUACAAGAAAAUCAUCAACAUGAAGGGCAAUUAACGUACCUACAGGAAUCAUAAUUUUUCAUUUUGAAAUAUAAACAAGGUUCCAGUUCUGAUUUGGUGUAACCAAAUUCAGUUAGUUUUGAGACUACUUUCUCAUUCCAAACUCUGGACGAUUGCUUCAGGCCAUAUAAGGCUUUCUUUAAGAGACAAACCUUGUUCCUGUCUCCUGAAACAAAUCCUUCAGGUUGCUCCAUGUAGAUUACCUCUCUCAGGUCGCCAUUCAAAAAGGCUGAAUUAACAUCUAACUGAUGGACAGUUAGACCCAGCUGAGCUGAUAGUGCAAAUAACAAUCUAAGGGAGGACUUAUUAAUAACAGGAGCGAAGGUGUCUGUGUAGACUACGCCAAAAUGUUGCGUAAAACCUUUGGCUACAAGCCUGGCUUUAAAUUUCGGGUUAUUCGAAUUUGGUUCUUUGACUUUGAACACCCACUUACACUUAACAAUAUUUUCAAGCUGUGGUCUAUCAACGAGCACCCAGGUGGAGUUUUCAUGCAAUGAUGUGAUUUCUUCUUGCAUGGCAGCUUGCCAUUUGGAGCUGUCAUCACUUUUGAUGGCUUGCUGGUACGAUUGAGGGGUCUCCUCCACACACAGUGUUACAAAAUCAGGAAAAGUUUUGGGUUUUCGAUCACGGACCGGAAAGCGUCGCACUUCAUUAAUCGAACUUCCCUGAACUUCAAUUUCAGGGUUCUCGCGCACAUCAUCCUGAACUUCAAUUUCAGGGUUUUCCCGCACAUCAUCCUGAACUUCAAUUUCAGGGUUUUCGCGCACAUCAUCCUCGGCAACAUUUUUACGCACUUGAUUUUCACGACUCACGGGCAUUUUUGAUCGUAGAAUUAAUGGUUGUGAAGCACUUGGUACCUAGGUGUGUGGCGACCAACGCCAGAUACAGGUUUUUAUGCAGGUGUUUAAUACCAAAUUCAUGUUUUUAAGUAGGCGACUACCGCCAAAUACCGUUAUACGGUGAUUAGCACCAGUUUCAAGAUUUUUAUUGUUAUUCAGGCGAUUAACGCCCAAUGAUUACUUUUAAAGGGGCGACUAACGCCAAAUGAUUACUUUUAAAGGGGCGACUAACGCCAAUGAUACUAUGUUAGGAAGGCGAAUAACGUCAAGAUUUUUAUUGUUAUUGAGGCGAUUAACGCCAAAUGGUUACUUUUAAAGGGGCGACUAACGCCAAUGAUAAUAUAUUAUGAAGGCGAAUAACGUCAAGACCUUUAUGGUUGUUAAGGCGACUAACGUCUAAAUUAGGUUUUAUGGCGAUUAACGCAAUAUUACUUUUUACAAGGCGACUAACGCCAAUUAAUCAUUUCUAUUAAGGCGACUAACGUCUAAAUUGGUUUUAUAGCGAUUAACGCAAUGUUACUUUUUACAAAGGCGACUAACGCCAAUUAAUCAUUUCUAUUAAGGCGACUAACGUCUAAAUUUGGUUUUAUAGGUAGCGAUUAAC